RNAcentral lists this long non-coding RNA (388 nucleotides) under Homo sapiens (human). Its description in RNAcentral is "HSALNT0351887". The record is from RNAcentral. Lineage: Eukaryota; Metazoa; Chordata; Mammalia; Primates; Hominidae.
GAGACACCGCCGGGUUUGGGGCGCCGCAGUCCCGGGAACGGAGGGUCUCACUCUGUUGACCAGGAUGGAGUACAGUAAUACAGUCAUGGCUCACUGCAGCCUCAACCUCCCAAGCUCAAGCAGCAGGAAGAUCUUUUGAGGGUAAGGAGUUUGAGACCAGCCUGGGCAACAUCAUGAAACUCUGUCUCUCUAUGAAAAAUAACAAAAUCAUUCCGGUGUGGUGAUGCAUGCUUGUAGUCCUAGCUGCUCGGAAGGCUGAGCCAGGAGGAUCCCUUGAGCCCAGGAGUUCAAGGUUACAGUGAGCUGUGAUCACCCUGCACUUCAGCCUGUUGCACUUCAGCCUGAGCAACAGAGUGAGACCCCAUCUCAAAAAUUAAAAAAAAGAAUU